CAACCCUCAAGCUCUGCUUGGUACUGGGCCGCACCGUUCCGGUGGGCUCCAAAGUUAGUGGCGGUGCCGGUCGGCUCCAAGCGUAGUAGCACUCUCGCUUCUGGAUGUCGGUCGUCGCCCGCCAGGAAACCCCUUCUCAA
Molecule: unclassified non-coding RNA, 140 nt
Filed under: uncultured Ascomycota
Lineage: Eukaryota; Fungi; Ascomycota
Description: sequence contains ITS2
Source: RNAcentral